RNAcentral lists this ribosomal RNA (466 nucleotides) under uncultured bacterium. RNAcentral describes it as "partial 16S ribosomal RNA". It matches the Rfam family "Bacterial small subunit ribosomal RNA", at positions 28 to 507 of the family's 1533-position model. The record is from RNAcentral.
GAUGAACGCUGGCGGCGUGCUUAACACAUGCAAGUCGAACGGAAAGGCUCCUGCUUGCAGGGGUACUCGAGUGGCGAACGGGUGAGUAACACGUGGGUGAUCUGCCCUGCACUUCGGGAUAAGCCUGGGAAACUGGGUCUAAUACCGGAUAGGACGAUGGUUUGGAUGCCAUUGUGGAAAGUUUUUUCGGUGUGGGAUGAGCUCGCGGCCUAUCAGCUUGUUGGUGGGGUAAUGGCCUACCAAGGCGUCGACGGGUAGCCGGCCUGAGAGGGUGUACGGCCAAAUUGGGAAUGAGAUACGGCCCAGACUCCUACGGGAGGGAGCAGUGGGGAAUAUUGCACAAUGGGCGGAAGCCUGAUGCAGCGACGCCGCGUGGGGGAUGACGGCCUUCGGGUUGUAAACUCCUUUCGCUAGGGACGAAGCGCAAGUGACGGUACCUGGAGAAGAAGCACCGGCUAACUACGUG